RNAcentral lists this long non-coding RNA (3538 nucleotides) under Marmota monax (woodchuck). The record is from RNAcentral. Lineage: Eukaryota; Metazoa; Chordata; Mammalia; Rodentia; Sciuridae.
AUUAUUAUUGUCUAUUUUCCUAUAUUAGAACAUAAGUUCCAGGAAAUCAGGAACCUUGUCUCUCUUGUUCACUGGUGUAUCCUCUGCAUAUAGAACAGUGCCUGGCACAUAAUAGGUGCUGAGUAAGUAUUUGUUGAAUGAAUGAAUGAAUGAAUCAUGUACUAUGAAAUAGGGGAAUGAAGUAACAAUGACAAGAUGGUGACACAGUUUUAGAAAAUACCCACACUUUUUAUAUUCUAACUGCCUUUAUCAACCCUGAGUGAGUAACCCCAAUCCAUUUAACUCAUAGCCUACUACCCAUUCUUUUAACUGCUAACUUUAAUUUAAUAAGCAUGCCAUGAUUUCAUUAAUACCAAUGUACAUUAUAAUCAAUCCAUUCACAAAAUUAAAAGAUUCUAACUAAAAUGGUCUAAAAGUAUUAAUAAGAAAAAUACUAAAAAAAUUUAUACAUAAAUGAUCUGAAAAUACUUGUCAGAAAAUUGAACUAUAAAACUUUGACAUAAGCAGUUUUGAAAAUAUUAAGAAAAAGAAACUAAAAGUUGGAAAUUUCAGUAAAAGCUUAAAAUUUACCCUAUCUGCUAAGUUAACCAGAAAAAAUCAUAUAACCUCUCUAUAAUUCUUAAUUUAAACCUGUUAUCACAGAAAUCUAGUUGGGUCCUUAAUUCUGCCUAACAAUCUUCCUCUAUUUUUCUAAUUGUUUAUUUUUCUACUCAAUAACAUUUCCCACAUUUCCCUCUUUCUUUAAGUCUACGUGCCUCUUCCAUUUCCUUUCCUUUCUCAUCUUCUUUCUUGAGAGUGGAAGAUCUUUUGAUUUAUCUGGUAAAAUAGAAACUCUUAAACAAGGACUCCUUAUCUUACCUUUGGGCAUAUCUAUCAAGUUGCCUUUGGCUAUGCCCAUAUCCUCAGCUUUCCAUGUGUAACUAGAAAGGAGGUGACCUCAAACCCCCUUGUGCUUUGGAUCCUAAUCCUCUGGACUUCUUAAUGACUGCUUUAUUUCUUGUUUCUCAUAAUCUACAAAGCCAUCCUUUUCAAAUCAUACUUAAUAGCUUUUGGACAUAGUAUGGUAUAUCUUAACUGUAAAAAUUCUCCAGAUCUGACAGAGAUAGUGUUUUAUAGUGUAAAAAGGGUGUUGUAUUUAAUAACUGUGAUUGCAAAACUGGCUAUUCUUAAGGCAGGAAGUAAUGGACGAAUUCUAGCUUCAAAGCUAAUACAAAAACAAUACCCCAAAGGGGAAAAAAGACCAUAAUAAUCUAAAAAGAAAAUUUUAAGAAAUUAUAGUACCUAGUGCUUGAAAAGACAUUUUAAUCAAGGUAGACCCUCUAAGAGCUUUAAAAUAUAUGAUUUUUAAAAAGUCAUGUAUAUGAUAAAAAUUAGUUUUAUAGCCAAUAUGCCAAAUACAAAGUCAAUUGCUAACUACUAGAUUAGCAGAUAAAUUUCAUGUCUAUAACAGAAAGGGUUGCUACGACUACUGUUAGAAUACUAAUAUAAUAUGUACACUAAUAUACAUAAUAUAAAAAUACAAACAACCCAGUUAAAAUUAACAAAGAUAUAAACAGGCUCUUCAGGAAGAAUAAUUCCAAAUCAACAAUAGACAAUAAACAUGAAAGACACUGAAUCUCCCAAUGAGGAAAAUGAACAUAACUAACAACAAAGUAUCACAUUGCAGCAUUAAUUAGCAACAGUUAAGCAAAUUUAAUAGAAUUGGAUAUGAUUGAAAGAAAAGGAUAUUAAGUCAGACAGUGGGGAGGUAUUGUUACCUUCAUAGUUAAAUUCAAAAGUGCCCCAGGCCCCCCCCCCCCAGGUGUUCUUUAGUCAUUUUGACUCUUUGACUCAUCAUAUUAAUUUGCCUUUCUAGACUAUGAUACUUGAACUCACACAGCUGCUUCUGCUUUGAGGCCCUCAAACUAGCUAUUUUCUCUGCCAAGAUAGUCUUCCUUCUCCUGUUGGUCUUUGCUCAAAUUAAACCAACCAACCCUGAUAUUUUGUUUAAAAUGACAACUGUACUUCCCUUCUGUCUCCUAAAAUCCUGUAUACUGUGUAUCUCCCUUACUCUGCUCUUCUUUUUCUACGCAGCAUGAACUUUCUUCCAUGAUCCUAUUUAAUUUAGUUAUGUUACAUUUGUUUCUUUCUCCACCUUUUCCAUUCUGAAUAUAAUUUCUACAAGGGCAAGGAUCUUUGUUUUGCUCAGUGAUAAAGUCCACGCAUCUAAACCAAUGCCUGACACCAAUAGUUGCCCAGUAAUAAUUUUCCACAUAAGAAGAUAAAUGAGUGAAUGGAUGGAUGGAUGAUUGAACAAGUUUUAACAGGAAAAAAUCAUGUUCUUAUGUAAAAAGUUACUGUCUUAAUCUUUUUAUAUUUUAAAGGAGAAAAAAGUAACUUACAUUCCACUAGUCUGAAAUCCUGAUUUGAAAUGAAGAUAUGACAAGACCCAGAGAAAUGAUUUCCAUUCAGGAGAGAAUCUCUAAGUGAAAAUUCAUGUGCUGAUCAGGCUCAAUAUAUACCAUCAAAAUUCUAAUUAAGUCAUUCCCUACCCCAAGUCCAAUCAAGGCUGAUUAAUUCUCUCUCCAUUUCUACCAAUUGAAUCACUUCCUCCCAAUUCUAGUAAAUCCUUUCAUAUACAAAGUUGAAAUUUGUGCUUAAAAAUGUUGGAUGUUUUUGAUAAGAAACAGAAAACCCAAUGGGCAUGAGUCAAAAUUGCAUUAAUGAAUAAUAUAAAUAAUGGAAUCUGCUUUGAAAUUUAAACCUAAUUCUAUACGAAAAGUUAGUGCUUUAAUUUGUUUUGAUAAGUAAGGAGGUUUUUAAAAAGUGGCUUGCCUUCUAUCCCCAAAUUCUGAUUUUAAAUGAAGACACUUAGGUUCAGAGGGGUGGUUUCCUGGAUAUAACCUCAGUGUGAAAUUUUCUUUGCUGAUAGUCCAGUUAGAUUACUGGAUAAUAUUAUAAUCUAACUACUACUUGUCUAAUUACAUGGUUAUUUUAUACUAAUUAGCAAGCCAGACAAUUAUUACUAAGACAAUUAAGAAUAAAACUUACUAAAAAUAGUUAAAAUAUCUAAACUAUAGAAAAUAAAAGAAUAGAAAAAUACAUGCCAGGCAAUAUAAACAAUAACAAGAAGACUUUAUGGAGUGAUAUUAAUUAUUAAAUUAUUCUUUUUAUUAAGUAACAUUAAUAGGGACAAAGAUGUGCAUCUUAUUAUAUUACAAAGAAAAAUCCACUAGGAAAUAAUGUAAUCAUGAACAUGUAUGCAACUAACCACAUAGCUGGAAAAGUGUGAAGCAAAAAGAAUUUCAAGGAAAAGCUGACAAAUCUGCAAUCAUGGUGGAAAUCUUUUUAUAACAUAAAUUGUUCUCAUCUUGGUAGAUCAUGCAGACUAACAAUAUUGAUCUAAUAUAUAUGUUAUAUGUGUGUGAAUAUAUGUGUAAUAUAUGUGUAUGCUUAUUGUAUUUAUAUAUGUAUAUAAAAUCUUAUAACAAAAACAGAAUACACAUUAUUUUCAAUAAACAUUGAAUAUUUUUUCCAAAUUAAUUAAGUAUAAAGCCCC